Molecule: long non-coding RNA, 517 nt
Organism: Lactuca sativa (garden lettuce)
Lineage: Eukaryota; Viridiplantae; Streptophyta; Magnoliopsida; Asterales; Asteraceae
Source: RefSeq, a predicted model, not a curated record
AGCAAAUCAAUCACUUUCUUCAAACUCCUUUGUUCAUACAUUACAACGUGAAGCUGCGAUUGGUCCCCCCACACUUCGAUUUCUGCUGAAAUCUUCAUUUUUCUUGCUUCUCUUCUACAUUACGUCGUAAAAGGUACCAUGGGACCAAGGUGUGCGAUUCCGGAAGAACAAGACCACAUUGAUGUUCCAAGUAUACAUCCGUUAUAUCGAUUCCCUCAAAAUGUUUCGCAAACAAUGCUCAAUAAUUAUGCGAACAAGCUGGGAUGGUUGUACAAUCGGGAGUUUGCAUUGGCACCGUUGGUCGAUUGGUCAUGGCUACGUGGGGUUGGUAUGGUAACGGAAGUGAAACGAUAUUGGACAAAGUUAUUUUUAGGAGAAGGUUUCACUUUCCAAUGCAACGUUUGGCACGAUUUAUUUUCUAUUCAAGAGCCCGUUUAUCGGGAAUUAUCCAUUGAAAAAGUGUAGUGAAAAAUCUUUGUUAAUUUACAUGCGACUUGAAAAACUUUGAUAUGAAAAA